AUUGAACGCUGGCGGCAGGCUUAACACAUGCAAGUCGGGCGGGGGAAGGUAGCUUGCUACCGGACCUAGCGGCGGACGGGUGAGUAAUGCUUAGGAAUCUGCCUAUUAGUGGGGGACAACAUUUCGAAAGGAAUGCUAAUACCGCAUACGUCCUACGGGAGAAAGCAGGGGAUCUUCGGACCUUGCGCUAAUAGAUGAGCCUAAGUCGGAUUAGCUAGUUGGUGGGGUAAAGGCCUACCAAGGCGACGAUCUGUAGCGGGUCUGAGAGGAUGAUCCGCCACACUGGGACUGAGACACGGCCCAGACUCCUACGGGAGGCAGCAGUGGGGAAUAUUGGACAAUGGGCGCAAGCCUGAUCCAGCCAUGCCGCGUGUGUGAAGAAGGCCUUAUGGUUGUAAAGCACUUUAAGCGAGGAGGAGGCUACUUUAGAUAAUACCUAGAGAUAGUGGACGUUACUCGCAGAAUAAGCACCGGCUAACUCUGUGCCAGCCGCCGCCGUAA
RNAcentral lists this ribosomal RNA (501 nucleotides) under uncultured bacterium. RNAcentral describes it as "partial 16S ribosomal RNA". It matches the Rfam family "Bacterial small subunit ribosomal RNA", at positions 30 to 523 of the family's 1533-position model. The record is from RNAcentral.